GACGAACGCUGGCGGCGUGCUUAACACAUGCAAGUCGAACGGAAAGGCCCUGCUUUUGUGGGGUGCUCGAGUGGCGAACGGGUGAGUAACACGUGAGUAACCUGCCCUUGACUUUGGGAUAACUUCAGGAAACUGGGGCUAAUACCGGAUAGGAGCUCCUGCUGCAUGGUGGGGGUUGGAAAGUUUCGGCGGUUGGGGAUGGACUCGCGGCUUAUCAGCUUGUUGGUGGGGUAGUGGCUUACCAAGGCUUUGACGGGUAGCCGGCCUGGGGGGGUGACCGGCCACAUGGGAACUGGGUUACGGCCCGGACUCCUCCGGGGGCAGCAGUGGGGAAUAUUGCACAACGGGCGGAAGCCUGAUGCAGCAACGCCGCGUGCGGGAUGACGGCCUUCGGGUUGUAAACCGCUUUCGCCUGUGACGAAGCGUGAGUGACGGUAAUGGGUAAAGAAGCACCGGCUAACUACGUG
This 467-nucleotide ribosomal RNA is filed under the name uncultured bacterium. RNAcentral describes it as "partial 16S ribosomal RNA". It matches the Rfam family "Bacterial small subunit ribosomal RNA", at positions 28 to 507 of the family's 1533-position model. The record is from RNAcentral.